Phrynosoma platyrhinos (Desert horned lizard) is the source of this 72-nucleotide non-coding RNA. Lineage: Eukaryota; Metazoa; Chordata; Lepidosauria; Squamata; Phrynosomatidae. The record is from the annotation of a GenBank genome assembly.
GCCAGUGUGGUCUAGUGGUUUGACCGUUGGACAACAACCCUGGAGACCAGGGUUCAAUUCCCAGCUUGGCCA